AAGGCUUUAGCUUAAUUAAAGCACCUGCUUUGCAUGCAGGAGAUGUGGGUUAAUGUCUUGCAAGUCUUA
Molecule: transfer RNA, 69 nt
Filed under: Datnioides polota (four-banded tigerfish)
Lineage: Eukaryota; Metazoa; Chordata; Actinopteri; Lobotiformes; Datnioididae
Also listed under: 3 other names
Description: tRNA-Ala
Rfam family: tRNA
About the family: Transfer RNA (tRNA) molecules are approximately 80 nucleotides in length. Their secondary structure includes four short double-helical elements and three loops (D, anti-codon, and T loops).
Source: RNAcentral